UGAAAGCAAGUUCAAUGAAGAACCAAAGAGAAUUCGCCUCUCUUGAAAUAAAAUGCAUAAACUGAAAUACAUCCCAAUCUUUAUCGUACAAUACUAAAAACUAAGUAUUUAUAAGCUAAGAAACCUUAAAAUUAAAUAAAACAUAAAGCCCGGUUUAAUAGGCCCAAUUAUACUGAUUAAAAUAUAGAACUAAAUAAAAUUCUCAAAGCCCACAUGUUUGGAUCAUGUUAAUUAGCCUUGGAUCUUCUUUUAAGUCUAUCUCUUCAUAAUCACCGAAGCUUGUUGAUUUUCAUUAUUGGACACGGAUCAUAUGCUCUUUCUUGAAAUGGAUUUGUCCUCAAAUUCGAAUCUUUAUUGCUGCAUAAGUAUGUUGUUGUAUCCCUUCCUUUAAGUGAAACUGGAUCAAUGCAUACCCCCGAUCAAAUGGAAAGUUAUUGAAUCUCUUAUCUUGCAUAGGAUCAAACUAAUCAAUAGAAGUGCUCUCCCUUUAGUUCCAGAAUCUUCAUUUUAUCAAAGUAUGUAUCCAAUUUUUGCACUUUUGAGUACCUGCUAUAAAUUACAAUAAAAUCAAGGUUAACACUAUCACAACUAUCAAUAAAUUUAAUAAAUUUACAAAGAUUAUAUUUUAUUGGUUGCACAAAAGUGCUAUGCAACUCCUUUUAAGUAUAAAGUUUACCCAAUGUAUAAUUCCUUCAAUAGACAACGGUUUCAUCUUGCAAUUCCACUUAGCUAUAAUAGAAUUCUCUUCUACUAGUUGUAUCUUUUCCAUUUUCUCUUCAAUUAAUGGCUCUAAUUUACCCUUGAUCAUAAAUAAACUUUCUCCUUUUCUUUUCUCUAAUAAAAGAUUAUUAGCUUGUACUUGUUGUGAAUUAAGAGGUACUAAGUUUAUUUUUCUUCCAUCCUUCAUUAAAGAACAAGUUCCUUUGGCUUUAUCAUGAUUAGCAUGCCUAUUAACAUGCCAUGGUUUUCUUAAAAGCAAGUGACUAGAACUCGUUGAAGUCACAUCACAUAAUAUCUUAUCUUUGUACCUGCUUAUUGAAAAUAGAACUAGAAUUUAUGUAGUCACCCUUACCUCACUAUCUUUGUUUAGCCACUGAAGCUUGUAUGGAUUAGAGUGUAUGGUAGUAAAUAAUCCUAGUUUUUCUAUAAAGUAAGUAGAAGCUACAUUGACACAACUGUAUUAUCAAUAAUAAUUCUACUAAUCUUAUUACUGUUUAUUAAGAACGUAGUGUGAAAUACCAUCACCUUAUGCUCAUCAUUAUUAUUUCCAUAAGCAUUAGGAACAUGCCUUAGUUACCUUCUUUUGCAAGUUAUCAAUAAGUGCAUCAUGUUUUUCCCUUCUAUGUCUUAUCUCUUCAACCAUCAUAAUCACGUGCUCAAACUGUUUUUAUAUAGCUUGAAGAAUAGAAAAUUCAUCUUGCUGCUUUACGUCAUUAUAUUUGUUAAACAUGAUAAUAAAUUGACAAAAACUGAAAUAAAUAGAACCAAACAAUAACAAGAAAUAUGGCAACAAUAAUUUUUUAUUUCAACAAAAGAACAAGAAUAAGAUGAUUUAACAUUAAAACAAGCAUAUCAGAAGGAAACAGAAGAAAAUGAAAAGCAAACUUAAACAAAUGGAAGCAUAUUGAAACAAACGGAAACAAACAAAAUCAAAUGGAAACAAACGAAAGCAAAAGGAAUCAAAUGGAAGCAAACAGAAUCAAACGGAAGUAAAUGGAAUCAAAUGAAAACAAAUAGAAUCAAAUGAAUAUAAACGAAAAAAAAAUAUAGAUAGAAUCUGAUUUGAGCCAACGCUCUGAUACCAAAUAAUGCGAAACCCUAGGAAUUGUGUCUUGACACCCAAAAUCAGAUUUGAUAUAUAACCCUAAAUCCCAAAUUAUGAAUUUCUUCUUAGAUAGAAUUGUGGAUCUUGACUCAAUACUCAACUAGAAGUAUAAACCAAAGAUAUCAAGGUGAAAGGAUAGCGCCAUAAUGAUUAAUUAUCUUUGAUAAGUUCGAAAGCAAGUUCAAUGAAUCACCAAAGAUAAUUCACCUCUGUUGAAAUAAAACGCAUAAAUUGAAAUUUUUCUCAAUCUCUUCCUUAAUACUAAAAACUAAGUAUUUAUAAACUAAGAAAUACUAAAAAUUAAAUAAAAAAUAAAGCUCUAUUUAAAUAGACCCAAUUACGCUAAUUAAAAUAUAAAACUAAUUAAAAGACUCAAAAUCCAUAUGUUUAGAUCAUGUUAAUUAGGAUUGGAUCUUCUUUUAAGUACAUCUCUCCAUGAUCACCAUGAGCUUAUUGAUUUUCAUUAUUGGACACACAUCAGAAAGAGAAAACGAGAAAAAUCAACACCAAGAAUUAUAGUGGUUCAAUAUUUCUCAUGCCUACAUUCAUUCCUCAAGAAAUCAUCUUGAGAUCUUCCACUAUCAAACUCUUUUCAGAGGCAAGAGUAGAGCCAAAUACAAUAGAAAAAGCCCUAACACCUAGAAUUAACCAUAUCCCACAAGUUUUUCAAAAGACUUGUAAAUUUCCCUUAUAGUUUUUAUUAAAGAACUAAAUAAACUUAACCUUACUAGUUUUUACAAUGAACUAGGAGAUUUAAAUUGUUUUGGCAAAGAAUAAUGAAACUUGUAAGCCUUGCUCUUACUCAAAGAAGGGUACUUGAAUAUCCAUACAAUACAAGCUUCACACAAAGUUUUUCACUCACAACAAUUUGAGAUUAAAAGAGUUCUAAUCUAUUCUAAAUUUACAAAAUUUAUAGUAGAUAGAAUGAUAUGCAAAGUAGGCCUAGGAAAGAGAUUUUUAUAAAUAAAACAUAUUAGUUUUGAAAAUCUCUCUCUAAAGAUUGAUUACAAUCUUCUCUUAUAAUUUAUGCAAGGAAAGAAUGAAGAAGAAGGAUAUCAAGAUAAGAGAGUUUGUAAGAUGAAAACACAAAAUCAGUUUUAUCUCUCAUACCUUAGAAUUUCCGCCGAGCUUUUGAUUUAGACCCAGAAUUCUUAUUCUUCUCGUUAGCUAGAGAAGUUAAC
This 3006-nucleotide long non-coding RNA is filed under the name Jatropha curcas. Its description in RNAcentral is "long non-coding RNA (JCUR_LNC000442)". The record is from RNAcentral. Lineage: Eukaryota; Viridiplantae; Streptophyta; Magnoliopsida; Malpighiales; Euphorbiaceae.